RNAcentral lists this ribosomal RNA (471 nucleotides) under Stylocellus sp. Sumatra 5. Its description in RNAcentral is "partial 16S ribosomal RNA". It matches the Rfam family "Bacterial large subunit ribosomal RNA", at positions 1829 to 2600 of the family's 2925-position model. The record is from RNAcentral. Lineage: Eukaryota; Metazoa; Arthropoda; Arachnida; Opiliones; Stylocellidae.
UUCUUUAAGGAAAAAAUUUAAAGUAUCUUCUGCUCAAUGAUUUUUUAAAUAGCUGCGUUCGCACUAAGGUAGCAUAAUAAUUAGUUUUUUAAUUAGAAACUGGAAUGAAAGAAGGAAUGAGGAAAAUUUUUCUUAAUUUUAAAUUAAUGAAAUUAAAUUUUUAGUAAAAAUGCUAAAAUUUUUUUUAGGGACAAGAAGACCCUAUGAAGCUUUAUAAAUUAAAAAUUGAAAGAAUUUAUUUUGUUGGGGCAACACUCUAAGAGAAAAGUUUAGAGAAUAAAUUAAAUUAAAAUAUAUUUUAAAGGAACCAUAAUUUAUGGAUGUUUGAUUAAGUUACUCUAGGGAUAACAGCAUAAUUUAAAUUGGAAAGUACAUAUUGAUAAUUUAGUUUAUGACCUCGAUGUUGAAUUAAUAUAACUUUUUGGUGAAGGAAUUAAAAAAGUUAGNNUGUUCGACUAUUAAAAUAUUACA